RNAcentral lists this ribosomal RNA (468 nucleotides) under uncultured bacterium. Its description in RNAcentral is "partial 16S ribosomal RNA". It matches the Rfam family "Bacterial small subunit ribosomal RNA", at positions 28 to 507 of the family's 1533-position model. The record is from RNAcentral.
GACGAACGCUGGCGGCGUGCUUAACACAUGCAAGUCGAACGGUAAAGCCCUUCUUUGCUCUCGUGCUCGAGUGGCGAACGGGUGAGUAACACGUGAGUAACCUGCCCUUUACUUUGGGAUAACGUCUGGAAACUGGGGCUAAUACUGGAUAUUCACUCCGCAUGCCUGGGGGGGGUUGGGAAGUGUCGGGGGUUGGGGUUGGACUGGCGGCUGCUUAGCUUGUUGGUGGGGUAGUGGCUUACCAAGGCUUCGUCGGGUAGCCGGCCUGAGGGGGUGACGGGCGAGAUUGGGACUGGGAUACGGCGCGGAGUAGUACGGGAGGCAGUAGUGGGAAAGAUGGAAGAAUGGUGGGAAGCCGGAGGCAGGAAGGUGGAGUGCGGGGUGAUGGGCUUCGGGUUGUAAACCGAUUUAGGCUGAGUCGUAGCGGUAUUGACGGUAAUGGGUAAAGAAGCACCGGCUAACUACGUG